RNAcentral lists this ribosomal RNA (402 nucleotides) under uncultured bacterium. RNAcentral's name for it is "bacterial SSU rRNA". It matches the Rfam family "Bacterial small subunit ribosomal RNA", at positions 355 to 774 of the family's 1533-position model. The record is from RNAcentral.
UGGGGAAUAUUGGACAAUGGGCGCAAGCCUGAUCCAGCCAUGCCGCGUGAGUGAUGAAGGCCUUAGGGUUGUAAAGCUCUUUCGCCGGUGAAGAUAAUGACGGUAACCGGAGAAGAAGCCCCGGCUAACCUCGUGCCAGCAGCCGCGGUAAUACGAAGGGGGCUAGCGUUGCUCGGAAUUACUGGGCGUAAAGCGCACGUAGGCGGUUUCUUAAGUCGGGGGUGAAAUCCUGGAGCUCAACUCCAGAACUGCCUUCGAUACUGGGAAACUUGAGUUCGGGAGAGGUGAGUGGAACUGCGAGUGUAGAGGUGAAAUUCGUAGAUAUUCGCAAGAACACCAGUGGCGAAGGCGGCUCACUGACCCGAUACUGACGCUGAGGUGCGAAAGCGUGGGGAGCAAACA